RNAcentral lists this transfer RNA (85 nucleotides) under Marinobacter adhaerens. Its description in RNAcentral is "tRNA-Leu". It matches the Rfam family "tRNA". Rfam says of the family: Transfer RNA (tRNA) molecules are approximately 80 nucleotides in length. The record is from RNAcentral. Lineage: Bacteria; Pseudomonadati; Pseudomonadota; Gammaproteobacteria; Pseudomonadales; Marinobacteraceae.
GCUCCGGUGGUGGAAUAGGUAGACACUGGGGAUUUAAAAUCCCCUGCCGUAUGGCGUGCCGGUUCAAUUCCGGCCCGGAGCACCA